This is a non-coding RNA of Oryza brachyantha (malo sina), 209 nucleotides long. NCBI's taxonomy places the organism in Eukaryota, Viridiplantae, Streptophyta, Magnoliopsida, Poales, Poaceae. The record is from Rfam.
AAUAACCUUAUUUUUCAUUUUUCCGUGUCCAACGUUUGACUAUUCGUUUUAUUUAAAAUUUUUUUGCGAUUAAUAUUUUUAUUGUUACUAGAUGAUAAAAUAUGAAUAAUACUUUAUACAUGACUAAUUUCUUUAAAUUUUUUAAUAAAUUUUUUAAAUAAGACGAAUGGUCAAACGUUGGACACGGAAAAACGAAGAAUGAGGUUAUU